This 1254-nucleotide long non-coding RNA is filed under the name Gallus gallus (chicken). Its description in RNAcentral is "long non-coding RNA NONGGAT011813". The record is from RNAcentral. Lineage: Eukaryota; Metazoa; Chordata; Aves; Galliformes; Phasianidae.
GGAUUUUCCAGGCUUUACUGUCUUUCUGCAAGUCGAAGGCAACGUAGUUACAAUAAACAGGCACAAGAUGAUUAUGAACACACAGUCCGGACCUCGGUAUUUACAGACAACAGACACCACCUCGGUUCCUUUGAGAGACCUCCUGGCCAUGAUGUGUCAUGCAUGCAUUUCAGAAGACUGAUGGUCAAAGAGCGAGUCCUGCUGUGAUUUCAAAUGGCAGUCUCAGGAAGGGCUGGGAUUCAAAGACGGGAGCCCAGUUUUGAGAUAUCAGACUCCUUACUCAGGCUGCUAGACACAUGUGCAUAGCAAAUGGAAUCUGAACUUAGCUUAACAGCCUCAUUUAUUCCUGAUGGUUUAAAUUAUUUCAUCACAAUUAAUGACACCCCCUCAGCUUCCUGUGCAGCGCUGCCAGAUGUUCAGAGACCACAAAGCCACUCUCUUCUUUGACGGCUAGUGACAAGUCGUCCUCUGAAGGACGUUCCCUCAGUACACAGGCCGGAUGACACCUCCACUGCUUAGCACCUCUCCACCUCCCUGGGUAACCAUGGUGAGAGAAGGAGGAAGACAUGAGAAACCAGCCCGUGCAUUAGUAAGGACAAAUUAUGUGAAGCGUUCUGGACUUGAAGGAUCUCAUCUCCUCCUACCGGAUUUUCCAACCUGACUGUUUUAUAAAAAAGACAGACAACUGUUUGCCUCGACAUUCAAGGUGUUAAGCUUUCUAUGCUUCAUUAAAAAUAACCUGUCCUUCCUUACAAGGGGAAAGAAAAACAAAACCAAAAAAACGCGGGGGGGCAUGAAGCGAAAAAUACAAAUUGCAGCCACGUGGGAAGCCCUUACUUGGAAUACUAUCUCACUACUCCAUCAUCUUCAAAAGCAGAAUGCAACAAAUCCUAAGUCUUAGAAAUGCUGUGCUCACAUUCAGCUUAUUUUAUUCUUAUUUGUUGCUGUUGUCUUCCUGUCAGAGGAAGCAGAUUUUCCCUUACAGCGCUCCUCUCACAGUACUUAGGUAUUCUUCAGGACAGGAGGAAUGCAGGUAAUUUAAGUGAAAAAAAGUUGUGAGCAUGGAUAUCACUCUGAAAAUGAGAAGAUAGGCUCUGUCUCUAAAAAGAGGUAAGUGAAAAGUGUAACGAAAGUGUAGCUCAUGCAACUGCAGCCCUGGAUAAGAAAACAGCAAGUGUCUUGCAUUUUUUAAGAUUAAAAAGCAAGCAUCUAUGCUCCUGAAAUUCCAUCCACUAUUUCAAGCACAUAUGGCAG